GACCGAUAGUGAACCAGUACCGUGAGGGAAAGGCGAAAAGAACCCCGGCGAGGGGAGUGAAAAAGAACCUGAAACCGUGUACGUACAAGCAGUGGGAGCACAGGUUUACCUGUGUGACUGCGUACCUUUUGUAUAAUGGGUCAGCGACUUAUAUUCUGUAGCAAGGUUAACCGAAUAGGGGAGCCGGAGGGAAACCGAGUCUUAAUUGGGCGUUAAGUUGCAGGGUAUAGACCCGAAACCCGGUGAUCUAGCCAUGGGCAGGUUGAAGGUUGGGUAACACUAACUGGAGGACCGAACCGACUAAUGUUGAAAAAUUAGCGGAUGACCUGUGGCUGGGGGUGAAAGGCCAAUCAAACCGGGAGAUAGCUGGUUCUCCCCGAAAGCUAUUUAGGUAGCGCCUCGUGAAUUCAUCUCCGGGGGUAGAGCACUGUUUCGGCUAGGGGGCCAUCCCGGCUUACCAACCCGAUGCAAACUGCGAAUACCGGAGAAUGUUAUCACGGGAGACACACGGCGGGUGCUAACGUCCGUCGUGAAGAGGGAAACAACCCAGACCGCCAGCUAAGGUCCCAAAGUCAUGGUUAAGUGGGAAACGAUGUGGGAAGGCCCAGACAGCCAGGAUGUUGGCUUAGAAGCAGCCAUCAUUUAAAGAAAGCGUAAUAGCUCACUGGUCGAGUCGGCCUGCGCGGAAGAUGUAACGGGGCUAAACCAUGCACCGAAGCUGCGGCAGCGACGCUUAUGCGUUGUUGGGUAGGGGAGCGUUCUGUAAGCCUGUGAAGGUGGCCUGUGAGGGUUGCUGGAGGUAUCAGAAGUGCGAAUGCUGACAUAAGUAACGAUAAAGCGGGUGAAAAGCCCGCUCGCCGGAAGACCAAGGGUUCCUGUCCAACGUUAAUCGGGGCAGGGUGAGUCGACCCCUAAGGCGAGGCCGAAAGGCGUAGUCGAUGGGAAACGGGUUAAUAUUCCCGUACUUGGUGUUACUGCGAAGGGGGGACGGAGAAGGCU
Molecule: ribosomal RNA, 999 nt
Filed under: Salmonella enterica subsp. enterica serovar Dublin
Lineage: Bacteria; Pseudomonadati; Pseudomonadota; Gammaproteobacteria; Enterobacterales; Enterobacteriaceae
Description: partial 23S ribosomal RNA
Rfam family: Bacterial large subunit ribosomal RNA
Source: RNAcentral